AUGCUGGGGGCAGAAGGAGAAGACGUCUCCUUGGAAUGUUCCUUCAGCAUUGACAAAGGGAGAACACUAUCUCAGUAUUACUUCUUCUGGUACCGCCAGUAUCCUGGGUCAGCUCCUCAAUAUAUACUGAGCAGAAACUCUGGAUCCUACAAACACGAAGCAGAAUUUGCUACAGUAUCAGAUUACAGUUUUCAGGAUGGAAUUACAUCAGCAGCUAAAGCAGUGUAUGCUUUAGAGGGUAGCAGUGUUACACUGUCAUGCAGCUAUACUGGUACUGCAGACAGUCUACAGUGGUAUCGCCAAUACCCCAGAUCAAAACCAGAAUUCCUCAUACUCACCUACAGAAGCCGAGCUGGUGAUGUUACAGAAGGGCGAUUUACCAUUAAACAUAAUGAAACAAACAGACGUGUGGAUCUGCAGCUGAGCUCUGCUGAAGUGUCAGACUCUGCACUGUAUUACUGCGCUAUGAAGCCCACAGUGACAGGAAACCCACACACUCUGUACAAAAACCUGACAGAACCUAAGCCAAGAUUUUAA
Non-coding RNA from Megalops cyprinoides (Indo-Pacific tarpon), 537 nucleotides. Lineage: Eukaryota; Metazoa; Chordata; Actinopteri; Elopiformes; Megalopidae. The record is from the annotation of a RefSeq genome assembly.